GCUUACGGCCACACCUCCCUGAGCAUACCCGAUCUCGUCUGAUCUCGGAAGCUAAGCAGGGUCGGGCCCGGUUAGUACUUGGAUGGGAGACCGCCUGGGAAUACCGGGUGCUGUAAGCC
This is a ribosomal RNA of Esox lucius (northern pike), 119 nucleotides long. NCBI's taxonomy places the organism in Eukaryota, Metazoa, Chordata, Actinopteri, Esociformes, Esocidae. The record is from Ensembl.